GACGAACGCUGGCGGCGUGCUUAACACAUGCAAGUCGUACGGUAAGGCCCUUUCGGGGGUACACGAGUGGCGAACGGGUGAGUAACACGUGAGUAACCUGCCCACAACUUUGGGAUAACGCUAGGAAACUGGUGCUAAUACUGGAUAUGUGCUACUGCUGCAUGGUGGGGGUUGGAAAGCUCCGGCGGUUGUGGAUGGACUCGCGGCCUAUCAGCUUGUUGGUGGGGUAGUGGCCUACCAAGGCGGCGACGGGUAGCCGGCCUGAGAGGGUGACCGGCCACAUUGGGACUGAGAUACGGCCCCGACUCCUACGGGGGGCAGCAGUGGGGAAUAUUGCACAAUGGGCGCAAGCCUGAUGCAGCAACGCCGCGUGCGGGAUGACGGCCUUCGGGUUGUAAACCGCUUUCAGCAGGGACGAAGCUUUUUGUGACGGUACCUGCAGAAGAAGCACCGGCUAACUACGUG
This 465-nucleotide ribosomal RNA is filed under the name uncultured bacterium. Its description in RNAcentral is "partial 16S ribosomal RNA". It matches the Rfam family "Bacterial small subunit ribosomal RNA", at positions 28 to 507 of the family's 1533-position model. The record is from RNAcentral.